GCGAACGGUAGGCAAAUCCGCCGUUCAUCAAGCCUGAGAGGUGAUGCGUAGCCGAUUGAGGCGAAUUCAGUGAUCCUAUGCUGCCGAGAAAAGCCUCUAGUGAGUUGUUACACGGCCCGUACCCCAAACCGACACAGGUGAUCAGGUAGAGAAUACUAAGGCGAUCGAGAGAAUCAUGGUUAAGGAACUCGGCAAAAUGCCCCCGUAACUUCGGGAGAAGGGGGACCUCCAUACCGUCAAGGCCCUUGCGGCCGGCAGCGGGAGGGGGUGGCACAAACCAGUGAGAAGCGACUGUUUACUAAAAACACAGGUCCGUGCGAAGUCGCAAGACGAUGUAUACGGACUGACGCCUGCCCGGUGCUGGAAGGUUAAGAGGACAAGUUAGCGUAUGCGAAGCUUUGAAUUGAAGCCCCAGUAAACGGCGGCCGUAACAAUAACGGUCCUAAGGUAGCGAAAUUCCUUGUCGGGUAAGUUCCGACCUGCACGAAUGGCAUAAUGAUGGCAGCGCUGUCUCCAGCAGAGACUCAGUGAAAUCGAAAUCGCAGUGAAGAUGCUGUGUACCCGCGGCUAGACGGAAAGACCCCGUGAACCUUUACUAUAGCUUUGCACUGGACUUUGAAUUUGCUUGUGUAGGAUAGGUGGGAGGCUUUGAAGCGGGGACGCCAGUUCUCGUGGAGCCAUCCUUGAAAUACCACCCUGGUUCAUUUGAGGUUCUAACCUUGGCCCGUUAUCCGGGUCGGGGACAGUGCAUGGUAGGCAGUUUGACUGGGGCGGUCUCCUCCCAAAGAGUAACGGAGGAGUUCGAAGGUUACCUAGGUCCGGUCGGAAAUCGGACUGAUAGUGCAAUGGCAAAAGGUAGCUUAACUGCGAGACCGACAAGUCGAGCAGGUGCGAAAGCAGGACAUAGUGAUCCGGUGGUUCUGUAUGGAAGGGCCAUCGCUCAACGGAUAAAAGGUACUCUGGGGAUAACAGGCUGAUUCCGCCCAAGAGUUCAUAUCGACGGCGGAGUUUGGCACCUCGAUG
Molecule: ribosomal RNA, 1023 nt
Filed under: Ictalurus punctatus (channel catfish)
Lineage: Eukaryota; Metazoa; Chordata; Actinopteri; Siluriformes; Ictaluridae
Description: bacterial LSU rRNA
Rfam family: Bacterial large subunit ribosomal RNA
Source: RNAcentral